UCACUCUCGUACUUCCGGAGGAAGCUAGUAUGAAGACGUUAAAAAAGAUCCGUGAUGUUAUAGUUGUGAUAUAUUUAUCUCCAUCGUCUAUUAUCAGCUUUGAAAAUGACUGAUAAGCACCAUAUUUCCAGUACAACACUCAGAAUAUUCAAACAGAAUAUUCAUAAAGAGAGAAGAAGAACAUUUUAUAUAAUUCUGCUUUUGGACAUAUGGAUAUACUCAUCUGGAGCAGCUGUGGUUACAGAUUGCCCUGGGGAAGUAGACUUACUAACGCAUGUUAACAUAACAUGCAACUUUGGAAACAAGCCUCUACAAGACAGCUUUCGCAUUAGCUUGAUACGGAGAAUAAAUUCAAGUGAUCAACGAAAGAAUGUCUUAACUUGUCAGUGGCAGGGGACAAAGCACUUUUGUAUCCCCCUGCGUGGAUAUGACUAUUAUACUCCAAUAACAAACAGUGUAGUUCUAGUCAUUAAAAAUGUCAGUUCCGAAAACCUUGGAUCAUACAUUUGUCAGAGGAUUCAGUCUGACGAGAGCGAUACACCUUGUGAAAUCAAGCUGAGAGAUCCAUUUGAUAAUGCAACUCAAGAGAUCCCAGGUAACCAAACAACAGAUCCAUUUGAUAACGCAACUCAAGAGAUCCCAGGUAGCCAAACAGCAGAGAUAGACCUCCGUUAGUUUGAUAUCUUCUCCUUCACAGCUAUCUAAGUGCCAAAGGAGGAGGCUAAAGACUCGCUAAACGUCGGUCUUAUUGUAGGUCUGUGUGUGGGCCUGCCUCUUGUUAUUAUUCCACUAUUUGCAAUAGUGUAUUACUUCAAAAUCAAGAAGCCUGGAAUAUCUAGC
RNAcentral lists this unclassified non-coding RNA (840 nucleotides) under Pomacea canaliculata. Its description in RNAcentral is "uncharacterized LOC112569021, transcript variant X1". Lineage: Eukaryota; Metazoa; Mollusca; Gastropoda; Architaenioglossa; Ampullariidae. The record is from RNAcentral.